UGAGGGAUAUUGGUCAAUGGGGGGAACCCUGAACCAGCAACGCCGCGUGAGGGAAGACGGUUUCGGAUUGUAAACCUCUGUCCUAUGUGAAGAUAAUGACGGUAGCAGAGGAGGAAGCUCCGGCUAACUACGUGCC
RNAcentral lists this ribosomal RNA (136 nucleotides) under uncultured bacterium. RNAcentral's name for it is "partial 16S ribosomal RNA". It matches the Rfam family "Bacterial small subunit ribosomal RNA", at positions 355 to 509 of the family's 1533-position model. The record is from RNAcentral.